AAAGCGUGCGCAGGCGGUUUUGUAAGACUGUCGUGAAAUCCCCGGGCUUAACCUGGGAAUGGCGAUGGUGACUGCAAGGCUAGAGUUUGGCAGAGGGGGGUAGAAUUCCACGUGUAGCAGUGAAAUGCGUAGAUAUGUGGAGGAACACCGAUGGCGAAGGCAGCCCCCUGGGUCAAAACUGACGCUCAUGCACGAAAGCGUGGGGAGCAAACAGGAUUAGAUACCCUGGU
RNAcentral lists this ribosomal RNA (230 nucleotides) under uncultured bacterium. RNAcentral's name for it is "partial 16S ribosomal RNA". It matches the Rfam family "Bacterial small subunit ribosomal RNA", at positions 562 to 791 of the family's 1533-position model. The record is from RNAcentral.